This 637-nucleotide ribosomal RNA is filed under the name uncultured bacterium. RNAcentral's name for it is "bacterial SSU rRNA". It matches the Rfam family "Bacterial small subunit ribosomal RNA", at positions 607 to 1244 of the family's 1533-position model. The record is from RNAcentral.
GCUCAACCGAGGAAGUGCUUCGAAAACUGGUAAACUUGAGUGCAGAAGAGGAAAGUGGAACUCCAUGUGUAGCGGUGGAAUGCGUAGAUAUAUGGAAGAACACCAGUGGCGAAGGCGGCUUUCUGGUCUGUAACUGACGCUGAGAUUCGAAAGCAUGGGUAGCAAACAGGAUUAGAUACCCUGGUAGUCCAUGCCGUAAACGAUGAGUGCUAAGUGUUGGAGGGUUUCCGCCCUUCAGUGCUGCAACUAACGCAUUAAGCACUCCGCCUGGGGAGUACGAUCGCAAGAUUGAAACUCAAAGGAAUUGACGGGGGCCCGCACAAGCGGUGGAGCAUGUGGUUUAAUUCGAAGCAACGCGAAGAACCUUACCAGGUCUUGACAUACCAUGAAAAGCUAAGAGAUUAGUCUUUCCCUUCGGGGACAUGGAUACAGGUGGUGCAUGGUUGUCGUCAGCUCGUGUCGUGAGAUGUUGGGUUAAGUCCCGCAACGAGCGCAACCCUUAUUAUCAGUUGCCAGCAUUCAGUUGGGCACUCUGGUGAGACUGCCGGUGACAAACCGGAGGAAGGUGGGGACGACGUCAAAUCAUCAUGCCCCUUAUGACCUGCGCUACACACGUGCUACAAUGGUCGGUACAACG